This 255-nucleotide long non-coding RNA is filed under the name Mytilus galloprovincialis (Mediterranean mussel). Lineage: Eukaryota; Metazoa; Mollusca; Bivalvia; Mytilida; Mytilidae. The record is from RNAcentral.
UGCCGGUGUUUUAUUUUAAGAUGCAAUGUUGUUGUAAACUCACGGAAACACCACGAGUCAUUUACUGCAGGAGCUAACAUUCUUAAGAAUGUUUUUUUUAUUUAAAAUUAUGCAAGUUUCUAAACUGUCCGAUAACAUUUAAGAACAACCCUCUUUUGUUUGUAUAUCUGUUUUUUUAUCGGGUGAUUGCUUUAUCCUGGAAGCCAUGUCUACCGUUCUCCUAUUCUCCACAGUUUUUAACUACUGCUUGUAAAG